AGUGAACGCUGGCGGUAGGCCUAACACAUGCAAGUCGAACGGCAGCACAGGAGAGCUUGCUCUCUGGGUGGCGAGUGGCGGACGGGUGAGGAAUACAUCGGAAUCUACUCUGUCGUGGGGGAGAACGUAGGGAAACUUACGCUAAUACCGCAUCCGACCUACGGGUGAAAGCAGGGGACCUUCGGGCCUUGCGCGAUUGAAUGAGCCGAUGUCGGAUUAGCUAGUUGGCGGGGUAAAGGCCCACCAAGGCGACGAUCCGUAGCUGGUCUGAGAGGAUGAUCAGCCACACUGGAACUGAGACACGGUCCAGACUCCUACGGGAGGCAGCAGUGGGGAAUAUUGGACAAUGGGCGCAAGCCUGAUCCAGCCAUACCGCGUGGGUGAAGAAGGCCUUCGGGUUGUAAAGCCCUUUUGUUUGGAAAGAAAUCCAGCUGGCUAAUACCCGGUUGGGAUGACGGUACCCAAAGAAUAAGCACCGGCUAACUUCGUGCCAGCCGCCGCCGUAA
RNAcentral lists this ribosomal RNA (506 nucleotides) under uncultured bacterium. RNAcentral describes it as "partial 16S ribosomal RNA". It matches the Rfam family "Bacterial small subunit ribosomal RNA", at positions 29 to 523 of the family's 1533-position model. The record is from RNAcentral.